CCCUCGCCCAACAAAUCGCCAUCGAAGCUUCAAACGGAGACAUUCUUCGGGAUGUCUCAGAAACACUUUGCUUCGGGAGAAAGUCCCCGGACAGUCUUCCUUUUCGGAGGGAGAAUGCCGAAAGGCGCCGCCAUAGAAGCACCACGCGGCUGAUCUCUGCUCUCCCCUGUUCCCUUGUCUGGCUUGCCUGCCCUGCCUCGCCGCUACAUCUUCCUGGUUCUGCGCCCACGGGGUUACAAGCACCGGUGUGCCUGGUUCGAUGUGUCACAUGGACGAAGAUAUGAGUCCGACGCGCAGAGCCAGGCCCUGCCUGUUUUGGGCUCCUGGGCGCGGCCGUUCGAUGGCGGGGCGGACGUGAUGUGCGGCCUAGUGCUGGGGGCGUUUCGUGGGGAAGGCUUGAGAACGUUUUCGUCGAGAUAUCACAGGUAUGCGAUUGCCCCAUGCCAGGCUCUGUCUGGCUGGGUUUACUCGAUGGGGCUCAUUCUUGGUGCGAGG
RNAcentral lists this RNase MRP RNA (495 nucleotides) under Diaporthe ampelina. RNAcentral's name for it is "RNase MRP". It matches the Rfam family "RNase MRP". From Rfam's summary of the family: RNase MRP is an enzymatically active ribonucleoprotein with two distinct roles in eukaryotes. In mitochondria it plays a direct role in the initiation of mitochondrial DNA replication. The record is from Rfam by way of RNAcentral. Lineage: Eukaryota; Fungi; Ascomycota; Sordariomycetes; Diaporthales; Diaporthaceae.